This is a non-coding RNA of Vicugna pacos (alpaca), 807 nucleotides long. NCBI's taxonomy places the organism in Eukaryota, Metazoa, Chordata, Mammalia, Artiodactyla, Camelidae. The record is from RefSeq and is a predicted model, not a curated record.
UCUAAGUUUCUUUUUCCAUGCUCUAAUCGUGGAAAUAUUGAGAUAUGGAAGGCAAAAUUUAACCAGAGCUGGGAAAGCAAGAUAAUUCCAAGGGUAAAGGUCUAGACCUUCUGCCGUACUUCGUAGACCAGCACUGUCUCCCCAGCCCCGAUGGAAGGAGAGAAGGGCUCCAGCGAGCUGAGAGGAUGCCGGCCCCACGAGAGCCUUCCCAGGAGGGGUGCAGCCACUCAGCCUCCUGGGUUGACUCAGAAGAAAGUGCCAUAUGCCCACUGUGCAGCUUGGAGCGUGUUUUCCUGGCCUGACUCGCCAUCACCACCAGACUUCUAUUAUUUGCAGUCAGUAACAAAGAUUCAUCCUUGUGUCCAUCAAGCAACAAGGAUAAUCUUUGUCACUUAGUGUAAUUAAUAGCGACACUUCACGUGGGAAGAUGGAAGAAGGAUGCCCUUCUCACACAGACUUGGGUGGAUUCAGAACACACUUCAUGGUUCCCUGCUGCCUUUUGACCAAUUAAAAAGCCAGAACUCAACAGAGGUGGGAAGAUGGCUCAUUCUUACCUUCCCAGUCCUCCUCAUUAGUGGACAGCCUUCAGAAGCAUUUGGGUUGGCUCAAAAAAUAUCUACAAACAAAAAGUAUGAAAAUGAGCAUCUUGGUGCAAAUGCAGCACAGCGUCAUCUGGGCACAGAGCCCUUUCCUUCCCACUGCUGCAACAUCCACUGACCAGGCAGACACAGUUCUACACCAAACCCCUGGGGGAGUUCCUUAAGACUGGCGUUCAAAGUUAUAAAAACUUACAACACCCUUGAAAUA